This 606-nucleotide ribosomal RNA is filed under the name Trichoderma sp. K5225-17-3. RNAcentral describes it as "eukaryotic LSU rRNA". It matches the Rfam family "Eukaryotic large subunit ribosomal RNA", at positions 38 to 667 of the family's 3401-position model. The record is from RNAcentral. Lineage: Eukaryota; Fungi; Ascomycota; Sordariomycetes; Hypocreales; Hypocreaceae. RNAcentral also lists the same sequence under 2 other names.
GCAUAUCAAUAAGCGGAGGAAAAGAAACCAACAGGGAUUGCCCCAGUAACGGCGAGUGAAGCGGCAACAGCUCAAAUUUGAAAUCUGGCCCCUAGGGUCCGAGUUGUAAUUUGUAGAGGAUGCUUUUGGUGAGGUGCCGCCCGAGUUCCCUGGAACGGGACGCCGCAGAGGGUGAGAGCCCCGUCUGGCUGGCCACCGAGCCUCUGUAAAGCUCCUUCGACGAGUCGAGUAGUUUGGGAAUGCUGCUCAAAAUGGGAGGUAUAUGUCUUCUAAAGCUAAAUAUUGGCCAGAGACCGAUAGCGCACAAGUAGAGUGAUCGAAAGAUGAAAAGCACCUUGAAAAGAGGGUUAAACAGUACGUGAAAUUGUUGAAAGGGAAGCGCUUGUGACCAGACUUGGGCGCGGCGGAUCAUCCGGGGUUCUCCCCGGUGCACUUCGCCGUGUUCAGGCCAGCAUCAGUUCGGCGCGGGGGAAAAAGGCUUCGGGAACGUGGCUCCUCCGGGAGUGUUAUAGCCCGUUGCAUAAUACCCUGCGCUGGACUGAGGACCGCGCAUCUGCAAGGAUGCUGGCGUAAUGGUCACCAGCGACCCGUCUUGAAACACGGACC